Molecule: ribosomal RNA, 89 nt
Filed under: Clostridioides difficile
Lineage: Bacteria; Bacillati; Bacillota; Clostridia; Peptostreptococcales; Peptostreptococcaceae
Description: partial 23S ribosomal RNA
Rfam family: Bacterial large subunit ribosomal RNA
Source: RNAcentral
CCAGAAAGACUAUCUGGUUGAUAGGUCGAAGGUGUAAGUGCAGCAAUGUAUUUGGCUUAUCGAUACUAAUAGGUCGAGGACUUGACCAA